Molecule: ribosomal RNA, 119 nt
Filed under: Pteropus alecto (black flying fox)
Lineage: Eukaryota; Metazoa; Chordata; Mammalia; Chiroptera; Pteropodidae
Source: RNAcentral
UUCUAUGGCCAUGCUACCCUGAACACACCCAAUCCUGUCUGAUCUCGGAAGCUAAGCAGGGGCGAGCCUAGUUAGUACUUGGAUUGGAGAUGACCUAGGAAGACCAGGUGCGUUAGGCA